GCCAGAGCCCAGCGCGCCCGGAGCCGGCGCUGCCAAGCCCCGGCGCCACCGCGGAGAAUGCAGCUUCGCUCGCCGCCGACUACGGCCCACGCCAUCCUUUGCAUCUGCUCCGCCCACCGCGUCCCUCGGCCUUUUCCGAGUCGGGUCGGGGAGGUUAGGAAAAGGAAGAGCGAAUUCCUCCGGUGCAAUCGCGUCUGCACGCGCUCCGGGGGCAGAGGCCCGGACGGAUUAUGAUCAUUGAUGGAGAUGAUGUGCAGGUGUCCAGCAUGGUCCCUGGAAUCCUGCAUGCUUGUAUUACAGACUUUAUUCAGGGCAGUAAUAUGCAUUCUUUGCUUUUCCUGCCUUCCUCUUUCCUGAUGCCUGGAACUUGGAGCUCCCGCAGCCAUUUUGGACCAAGAGUUGGGUAAAAGAGCCAGCUCUCGAGCCAUCCAACCAGACCUUGAAAGGCAACUUGUCUCAUGCAGCAGAGAAAUUAACCUGUCACCUUAAAGCAACAGUGAUUUUGUUUUCUAUUAUAUGACACAACCUAAGGCGUAUACUUAACGAAAAGUACAUGUUUUUGGUUAAUCAUAAACAUGUUUGCUUGAGCUAAAUUUUCCUCCUUAAAAUUAUUUUUGCUGGUCUGUUCCCAACGCACAAAUGCCUCGCUCACCAGGCCUAGGUUUUCCCCAUCAGCAAAAGAGGAACAAAACUCCCUCCUGCUUAUCUCUAAGACAUGAAAAAGAAACAGAACAUGGGAAGAAAAG
This is a long non-coding RNA of Lontra canadensis (Northern American river otter), 746 nucleotides long. RefSeq lists it as uncharacterized. Lineage: Eukaryota; Metazoa; Chordata; Mammalia; Carnivora; Mustelidae. The record is from RefSeq and is a predicted model, not a curated record. The transcript has 5 exons.